This 511-nucleotide ribosomal RNA is filed under the name uncultured Burkholderiales bacterium. RNAcentral's name for it is "bacterial SSU rRNA". It matches the Rfam family "Bacterial small subunit ribosomal RNA", at positions 10 to 507 of the family's 1533-position model. Lineage: Bacteria; Pseudomonadati; Pseudomonadota; Betaproteobacteria; Burkholderiales. The record is from RNAcentral.
AGUUUGAUCCUGGCUCAGAUUGAACGCUGGCGGCAUGCCUUACACAUGCAAGUCGAACGGCAGCACGGGGGCAACCCUGGUGGCGAGUGGCGAACGGGUGAGUAACACAUCGGAAUGUACCCAGUGGUGGGGGAUAACGUACCGAAAGUUACGCUAAUACCGCGUACGACCUACGGGUGAAAGCGGGGGACUCAGCAAUGGGCCUCGCGCCAUUGGAGCAGCCGAUGUCUGAUUAGCUUGUUGGUGAAGGUAAAAGCUCAACCAAGGCGACGAUCAGUAGCUGGUCUGAGAGGACGAUCAGCCACACGUGGGACUGAGACACCGGCCCAGACUCCUACGGGAGGCAGCAGUGGGGGAAUUUUGGACAAUGGGGGCAACCCUGAUCCAGCAAUGCCGCGUGUGCGAAGAAGGCCUUCGGGUUGUAAAGCACUUUUAUCGGGGAAGAAAUCCUGCGGGCUAAUAUCCUGCGGGGAUGACGGUACCCGAGGAAUAAGCACCGGCUAACUACGUG